RNAcentral lists this long non-coding RNA (889 nucleotides) under Sinocyclocheilus anshuiensis. RNAcentral describes it as "lncRNA (ENSSANG00000012256.1)". Lineage: Eukaryota; Metazoa; Chordata; Actinopteri; Cypriniformes; Cyprinidae. The record is from RNAcentral.
AACUUAAAUAUUUACCCGAUAUUUUAUUUUAUUCUUUUUUUUUUUUAUUACAGCACCUGAGAUAACCAAAGAAAAGCCAAAGCCAGCACCAAAGAAAGAGGCCGAAGUCAUCAAAGAGAAAGCUAAACCAUCUCCUGAGAAGAAAGGUAAUAGUUUCUUAUUGUAGCUUGAUAUGUGCUGUCAAGUUAAAGACCAGGCUUUAAUUUACUCAAAUCAAGUUUUUCUCAUUCAACUAAAUAUUUUUCUUUCAGAAGCUGAAGUCAUCAAAAAGAAAGUUAAACCAACUCCUGUAAAGAAAGAGCCUGAAGUUGCUAAAGAAAAGGCACCUGAACCGGCACCAAAAAUAGCACCUGAGAUAGUCAAAGAAAAGCCAAAGCCAGCACCAAAGAAAGGUAAUGCAAUUCAUUCGUAAUGCAUUCAUUUCGUAUUUCUAUUUUGCCCAGUUUAAAGAUAAUGAUAAAGCUUUAAAUAUAUUAUAUUAUCAUGAUUUUAGAGGCUGAAGUCAUCAAAGAGAAACCUAAACCAGUUCCUGAGAAGAAAGGUUUGAUUAACUGUUAUCAAAUUGCCAUAAUUCUUAAGCCAAAUUAAGACUGUGCAAAUAAAAUGUUUGCUUUCUCUAAACAUUCUUAUGUUGUCAUAAUUGCAGAGGCUGAAGUCAUCAAGGAGAAAGUUAAGCCAGCUCCUGUAAAGAAAGGUAUUGAUGUGAAUAAAAUCAUCCUGUAAUGAUGUUGCUUCCCAAUGAAUGAUCAUUCAUCACUUGAAACUGCUCUUUUAUAGAGCCUGAAGUUCAUAAAGAAAAGGCACCUGAACCAGUGCCAGAACCUACAAAGAAAGGUAUAUAGUGUCAUCGAUCAUUAUCUUUUAAUAUUUGCACAUUGCACAUCUGAUG